GCCCAGGUGGCGAAAUUGGUAGACGCAAGGGACUUAAAAUCCCUCGGAAUUUGUAGUUCCGUGCCGGUUCGACCCCGGCCCUGGGUAACA
RNAcentral lists this transfer RNA (90 nucleotides) under Legionellales bacterium. RNAcentral's name for it is "tRNA-Leu". It matches the Rfam family "tRNA". Rfam says of the family: Transfer RNA (tRNA) molecules are approximately 80 nucleotides in length. Their secondary structure includes four short double-helical elements and three loops (D, anti-codon, and T loops). Lineage: Bacteria; Pseudomonadati; Pseudomonadota; Gammaproteobacteria; Legionellales. The record is from RNAcentral.